RNAcentral lists this ribosomal RNA (429 nucleotides) under Acidobacteriota bacterium. RNAcentral describes it as "Acidobacteria bacterium partial 16S ribosomal RNA". It matches the Rfam family "Bacterial small subunit ribosomal RNA", at positions 355 to 776 of the family's 1533-position model. The record is from RNAcentral. Lineage: Bacteria; Pseudomonadati; Acidobacteriota.
UGGGGAAUUUUGGACAAUGGGGGAAACCCUGAUCCAGCCAUCCCGCGUGUGCGAUGAAGGCCUUCGGGUUGUAAAGCACUUCUGGCAGGAAAGAAACGUCAUGGGUUAAUACCCCGUGAAACUGACGGUACCUGCAGAAUAAGCACCGGCUAACUACGUGCCAGCAGCCGCGGUAAUACGUAGGGUGCAAGCGUUAAUCGGAAUUACUGGGCGUAAAGCGUGCGCAGGCGGUUCGGAAAGAAAGAUGUGAAAUCCCAGAGCUCAACUUUGGAACUGCAUUUUUAACUACCGGGCUAGAGUGUGUCAGAGAGAGGUGGAAUACCGCGUGUAGCAGUGAAAUGCGUUGAUAUGCGGAAGAACACCGGUGGCGAAGGCAGCCUCCUGGGAUAACGCUGACGCUGAUGCACGAAAACGUGGGGGGCAAACAGG